GACGAACGCUGGCGGCGUGCCUAAUACAUGCAAGUAGAACGCACAGUUUAUACCGUAGCUUGCUACACCAUAGACUGUGAGUUGCGAACGGGUGAGUAACGCGUAGGUAACCUGCCUGGUAGCGGGGGAUAACUAUUGGAAACGAUAGCUAAUACCGCAUAAUAUUAAUUAUUGCAUGAUAAUUAAUUGAAAGGUGCAAUUGCACCACUACCAGAUGGACCUGCGUUGUAUUAGCUAGUAGGUGAGGUAACGGCUCACCUAGGCGACGAUACAUAGCCGACCUGCGAGGGUGAUCGGCCACACUGGGACUGAGACACGGCCCAGACUCCUACGGGAGGCAGCAGUAGGGAAUCUUCGGCAAUGGACGAAAGUCUGACCGAGCAACGCCGCGUGAGUGAAGAAGGUUGUCGGAUCGUAAAGCUCUGUUGUAAGAGAAGAACGGGUGUGAGAGUGGAAAGUUCACACUGUGACGGUAUCUUACCAGAAAGGGACGGCUAACUACGUG
This 505-nucleotide ribosomal RNA is filed under the name uncultured bacterium. RNAcentral describes it as "partial 16S ribosomal RNA". It matches the Rfam family "Bacterial small subunit ribosomal RNA", at positions 28 to 507 of the family's 1533-position model. The record is from RNAcentral.